ACCACAAAUUAACCAUUUCAUGACGAUUUUAAAAAAUGGACAAAAGGUGGUCAGAAAUUAUUGACGAACCGAACUGGUGACAAAAAUGGUCAGUAAUUUGUGACCAAGUCUUGACCAAUUUAUUAUCGUCAUAAAAAUGGUCAGAAAUGGAUCGAAAAGUGGUCAGAUUUUUCUAUAAUAUUGAACCAUUUCUUUCAGUUUGUAUCGUGCGGCGCAUAUCUCCCUAUCGAGAAGAUUCUCAAAUGAUGGUUACUGGAGAGCAAUUUUGGUAAAUGUUUCUUUUAUAUAUUUGGAUGAUUUUCAAUGACAGCUUUGUAAAUGAUUUUCUUAAUAAACUUGCGUAAAGUUAAGACUGAUUUAUUUCUUACACAUCAAAGAGAUCAACACUCUAGUUUUCAUGGUAAGUUUUUUUUUUCAUGGUAAGUUAGCUUUCAUUGUUAAUUGUUUUUUUGUUCUUUCUUAUAUAUUUCUCGUUUUAUAGGAAAGUCGUGCAAUUAAAGGUAACAGUUUUGGAUUUGCAAGAUUGCCAGACCCAGGACAACUACCUUCUUCAGCUAGUUUCAUGUCUACUUCGGACCAAGCAGAACACAAAUGAGAAGAGAGCUAACUUACCAUGUAGAUGAGCAAAUUUCCAGAAUUACUUGUUGUAGAAGAAGACGCCACUGAAAAAUAGUUCUGUAAUAGUUAUUUUGCUUGCAUUUUUGUGGUUAAAAAUUCAGUAACGAGCAAUUCUAGCUUUCUUAUAAUUUUUUUUUAACUUUAUGUAAGUAUGCUAAGACAAUUUCAAUAUUAAUUAUUUAGGUUUCAACUUUAAAAUU
Molecule: long non-coding RNA, 818 nt
Organism: Raphanus sativus (radish)
Lineage: Eukaryota; Viridiplantae; Streptophyta; Magnoliopsida; Brassicales; Brassicaceae
Exons: 2
Source: RefSeq, a predicted model, not a curated record